CGCAAGGUCGAACGGCUUUUCUAUGGAAGCUUGCUUCCACUGAAAAGAUAGUGGGCGAACGGGUGAGUAACACGUGGGUAAACCCUGCCCAUAAGAGGGGGGAUAACAUCCGGAAACGGGUGCUAAUACCGCAUAGUUUCUUGAUCGCAUGAUCGGGAAAGGAAAGACGGCCUUUGUGCUGUCGCUUAUGGAUGGACCCGCGGCGUAUUAGUUAGUUGGUGAGGUAACGGCUCACCAAGACGAUGAUACGUAGCCGACCUGAGAGGGUGAUCGGCCACAUUGGGACUGAGACACGGCCCAAACUCCUACGGGAGGCAGCAGUAGGGAAUCUUCCGCAAUGGACGAAAGUCUGACGGAGCAACGCCGCGUGAGUGAAGAAAAGGUUUUCGGAUCGUAAAACUCUGUUGUCAGAGAAGAACAAGUCGGAGAGUAACUGCUCCAGCCUUGACGGUAUCUGACCAGAAAGCCACGGCUAACUACGUGCCAGCAGCGGC
RNAcentral lists this ribosomal RNA (494 nucleotides) under uncultured bacterium. Its description in RNAcentral is "bacterial SSU rRNA". It matches the Rfam family "Bacterial small subunit ribosomal RNA", at positions 56 to 518 of the family's 1533-position model. The record is from RNAcentral.